This 1173-nucleotide ribosomal RNA is filed under the name Triticum aestivum (bread wheat). RNAcentral's name for it is "partial small subunit ribosomal RNA". Lineage: Eukaryota; Viridiplantae; Streptophyta; Magnoliopsida; Poales; Poaceae. The record is from RNAcentral.
AUGUCAUCGUUCACCGGUGUAUCCAUCAUCGAAGGCCACGAGGGGUGCUACUGCAAGACAUCGGCCGUCGAAGCCGGCACGGACAGCGGCUACCAUCUCCUUAUGGUCAAUGGCUACUCGCGUACAAAAGAAAAGAACCCCACCGGCAGGAGCAUCAGCUCUGAUGCUUUUGUGGUAGGAGGACAUCCUUGGUUACUAGAGUACUACCCUAAUGGCAAGAACCCGAACUGCGCCAACUUCAUCUCUCUCUAUGUCCAAGGUGAUGGCAAAGUGAAUGCUAGGAUCAGCUUUUGUCUCGUUGACCAGGUUGAGAAGCAUAUGCCAAUGUACAUUCGUGCAACUAAUAAAGCUUCCAGGUUCAUUAACGGUGAUGGUGAUGUUUUCUGGGGCAUCAAUAAGUUUCUCAGAAGAGAUGCCCUUGAACGAUCGGCGAAUCUGAAGGGUGAUUCUUUCACCAUCCGGUGUGACAUAAUGGUUUGCAAGGAUCCCAAUACCGAGGAUCCCGGUGGCCACGGCACCAAGGUGCUCGUGUCUGACAUGGACCAACAUUUUAACAUUCUCCUUCAGACCAAGGUGGGUGCUGAUGUGACUUUUGAGGUUAGUGGCGAGACAUUAACAGCACAUCGUUGUGUGCUUGCAGCCCGGUCCAAAGUCUUCAUGGCACAACUCUUUGGUCCCAUGAAGGAGGGCACUACUACGUCUAGCGUCAUACAUAUCAAAGAUAUGGGAGCAAACGUGUUCAGAGCGUUGCUUAGAUUCAUCUACACGGACUCAUGCCCUGAAAUAGAGAAGGACUUCACGGAGGAGGAAGAAAUGUCUCAAGUUCUAGAAGAAGGACAAGAAGAUGAAACCAUAGAGGAUGAGAUGUGGCUGCAAUGGCUUCAAGACUUGUUUGUGGCGGCGGACAUGUACGAUCUCCAACGACUCAAGUGCAUAUGUGAAAUGCAAUUGUCUGAUCACAUAGGUGUGAGCUCGGUGAUGUCCACUCUUGCUCUAGCCGAGCAACACCACUGCCAGGGAUUGAAGGAGGCAUGUUUGAACUUUAUCCAAGUCCAGUCUUCCUCGUGCUUGCAAACAGUAACGGCCACUGAUGGUUGGGAUCAUGUAGUUUCGACCUAUCCCUUAGUUUCGAAGGAGCUCGUCGUCAAGCUUGGUUCAAACCAACACAAGUAA